GCGGAGGGCCGGAUGGCCGCGGCGGGGAUUGCGAUCCUCGUCGAGGAAAGUCCGGACUCCCUGAAGCAACGGUGCCGGGUAACGCCCGGGCAGGGCAACCUGACGGACAGCGCCACAGAGAACAGACCGCCCCGGCCUUGGCCGGGGUAAGGGUGAAACGGUGGGGUAAGAGCCCACCACGGGCCUGGCAACAGGACCGGUGAUGGCAAGCCCCACCGGGAGCAAUGCCAAAUAGGGACCCCGCGCGGGGCUGAUCCCUUCGGGGAUAUCGCCGCAGGGCCGCUUCAGCCCGAGGGGUCCGGGUUGGCAGCUUGAGCGGCGCAGCGAUGCGUCGCCCAGAGGAAUGGUCAUCGCCCCUAUCGGGGUACAGAAUCCGGCUUACAGGCCCUCCGCGCGC
This 397-nucleotide RNase P RNA is filed under the name Thalassococcus profundi. RNAcentral describes it as "Bacterial RNase P class A". It matches the Rfam family "Bacterial RNase P class A". Rfam says of the family: Ribonuclease P (RNase P) is a ubiquitous endoribonuclease, found in archaea, bacteria and eukarya as well as chloroplasts and mitochondria. Its best characterised activity is the generation of mature 5'-ends of tRNAs by cleaving the 5'-leader elements of precursor-tRNAs. Cellular RNase Ps are ribonucleoproteins. Lineage: Bacteria; Pseudomonadati; Pseudomonadota; Alphaproteobacteria; Rhodobacterales; Roseobacteraceae. The record is from Rfam by way of RNAcentral.